Molecule: ribosomal RNA, 490 nt
Filed under: uncultured bacterium
Lineage: Bacteria
Description: partial 16S ribosomal RNA
Rfam family: Bacterial small subunit ribosomal RNA
Source: RNAcentral
GAUGAACGCUAGCUACAGGCUUAACACAUGCAAGUCGCGGGGCAGCAUGGGGGUUGCUUGCAAUCCCCGAUGGCGACCGGCGCACGGGUGAGUAACGCGUAUCCAACCUGCCCUUCACCACGGGCUAACCCGGCGAAAGUCGGACUAAUACCGUAUGUUGUCCAUUGACGGCAUCCGAUUUGGACGAAAGGUUUGGCGGUGAAGGAUGGGGAUGCGUCCGAUUAGCUGGACGGCGGGGUGACGGCCCACCGUGGCGACGAUCGGUAGGGGUUCUGAGAGGAAGGUCCCCCACACUGGAACUGAGACACGGUCCAGACUCCUACGGGAGGCAGCAGUGAGGAAUAUUGGUCAAUGGGCGUAAGCCUGAACCAGCCAAGUAGCGUGCAGGAUGACGGCCCUAUGGGUUGUAAACUGCUUUUAUGCGGGGAUAAAGUGGCCCACGUGUGGGUUUUUGCAGGUACCGCAUGAAUAAGGACCGGCUAAUUCCGUG